GUACGAGAGUCUGGUUGUCGUACA
RNAcentral lists this non-coding RNA (24 nucleotides) under Arabidopsis thaliana (thale cress). Lineage: Eukaryota; Viridiplantae; Streptophyta; Magnoliopsida; Brassicales; Brassicaceae. The record is from RNAcentral.